GUCUAGAGUGGUGUGGGUAAAUGGGCGCACCCAAAGCCGCGAUCGGGUAGCUGGUUCUAGGAGGAUGAUCAGCCAGACUGGGACUGAGUCCACGUCCAGAUCUACGGGAGGCAAGCAGUUAGGAAUUUUGCGCAAUGGGGGAAACCCUGACGCAGCCACGCCGCGUGCGGGAUGAAAGCCUUCGGUCGUAAACCGCCUUUCUCGAGGAAGACACCCGACGGUACUCGAGGCAUAAGCACGGCUAACUACGUGCCAGCAGCCGCGGUAAUACGUAGGUUGCGAGCGUUGUCCGGAUUUACUGGGCGUAAAGCGCACGCAGGGCGGGUCCGAAAGUCGAAUGUGAAAGCUCCCGGCCCAACUGGGAGAGGCCCGUUCGAAACUUCGGGACUUGAAGGCGGGAGAGGCAGAUGGAAUUUCCGGUGUAGCGGUAAAAUGCGUAGAUACCGGAAGGAACACCAGUGGCGAAAGCGAUCUGCUGGCCCGCCCUUGACGCUCAGGUGCGAAAGCUAGGGGAGCGACCGGGAUUAGAUACCCCGUUAGUCCUAGCUGUAAACAAUGGGCACUAGGUGUUGUCGGUAUCGACCCCGGCAGUGCCGAAGCUAACGCAUUAAGUGCCCCGCCUGGGGAGUACGACCGCAAGGUUAAAACUCAAAGGAAUUGACGGGGGCCCGCACAAGCAGCGGAGCGUGCGGUUUAAUUCGAUGGUACGCGAAGAACCUUACCCAGACUUGACAUGCGAGUGGUAGGGACCCGAAAGGGAACCGACCCGCAAGGGAGCUCGUACAGGUGUUGCACGGCUGUCGUCAGCUCGUGUCGUGAGAUGUUGGGUUAAGUCCCGCAACGAGCGCAACCCUCGGGGUCUGUUGUACCUCUCAGACCCGACUGCCGAGAGAAACUCGGAGGAAGGUGGGGAUGACGUCAAGUCAGCGUGGCCUUUAUGUCUGGGGCAACACGCACGCUACAAUCGCCGGUCACAGCGGGUCGCGACAACGCAAGUUGAAGCUAAUCCCUUAAAACCGGCGUCAGUUCAGAUCGGAGGCUGCAACUCGCCUCCGUGAAGUCGGAGUUGCUAGUAACCGCAGGUCAGCACACUGCGGUGAAUAUGUUCCCGGGCCUUGUACACACCGCCCGUC
This 1133-nucleotide ribosomal RNA is filed under the name uncultured bacterium. Its description in RNAcentral is "bacterial SSU rRNA". It matches the Rfam family "Bacterial small subunit ribosomal RNA", at positions 239 to 1398 of the family's 1533-position model. The record is from RNAcentral.